This 511-nucleotide ribosomal RNA is filed under the name uncultured Sphingobacteriia bacterium. Its description in RNAcentral is "bacterial SSU rRNA". It matches the Rfam family "Bacterial small subunit ribosomal RNA", at positions 58 to 564 of the family's 1533-position model. Lineage: Bacteria; Pseudomonadati; Bacteroidota; Sphingobacteriia. The record is from RNAcentral.
CAAGUCGUGGGGCAGCAGGGGUAGCAAUACCCGCUGGCGACCGGCAAACGGGUGCGGAACACGUACGCAACCUUCCUUUAACUGGAGAAUAGCCCCUCGAAAGAGGGAUUAAUACUCCGUAACAUAUUGAUAAGGCAUCUUAUUAAUAUUAUAGCUCCGGCGGUUAAAGAUGGGCGUGCGCCUGAUUAGAUAGUUGGCGGGGUAACGGCCCACCAAGUCUGCGAUCAGUAACUGGUGUGAGAGCACGACCAGUCACACGGGCACUGAGACACGGGCCCGACUCCUACGGGAGGCAGCAGUAAGGAAUAUUGGUCAAUGGACGCAAGUCUGAACCAGCCAUGCCGCGUGGAGGAUUAAGGCCCUCUGGGUUGUAAGCUCCUUUUAUCUGGGAAGAAAUGCAUUUUUUCUAAAGUGCUUGACGGUACCAGAGGAAUAAGCACCGGCUAACUCCGUGCCAGCAGCCGCGGUAAUACGGAGGGUGCAAGCGUUAUCCGGAUUCACUGGGUUUAAA